GUCACAAGGUUUACACACUUCUUGUGGAGAAGGAGCAGGAGAGGGACCACCACCAAGAGGUGAGAGGCUCCUUUUCCCUCUGAGUUCUGAGUCAAUGCUUAGCUAGUGGUAGCAGAAUAACUAUACAGUUUGCCCGUGCCCCCGGGAACAGAAGAAGCCGGGCGCCCAUUGUGUGGUCCUGGCACAUGCACUAUGGGGCCGAUCCAAGAUGGGUCUGGAGAGCUGCCUAUUAGAGCUCUGGGUCAGUGAACCACGGGAGUUGAGUUGGUGACUGUUGGAGAUUCCAGAGGCAGUGUGGUGAGACAAAGGCAAGCUUGAUGAGGGGAGGAGUCCACGAGCAUGGUGUAGGCAGGCCUAGGGGCCAGGUUCAGAGCCGGGAUGAGGAAUUGCAUGCCUGAAUGACCCAUGGCAUGUGGCUGUUUUUCCCCUGGGCAGGGAGCCAGCUUGGCCCCGGUGGCCACUCUGGGUGGUGGUGGAUAUCCCGGAGACAGCUCAUUCCCCGCUUUGGGGCUGCCGGGAGAGGAGGGAAGAAGAGCCCGCGUGGUUGUAUGUUGUCUUCGGAGUGAGAUGGAAAGCACGGGUUGGGAAAGGUGACCUGCAGGCACACCAGCCCCGGGCUGUGGGGGGGAUGCUCAGAGCCCACCUGGCUUCGCCUGUUUGCAGCUCCUUUCUUAAGACAUGUUCUGCAGAGAGAUGAGGAUUUGCACGCGGCUGAUGUGUGGAGGAAGUGCUUCCAGGGAAACAGCGAGGAAUGGGAAGCAGCACAGGGCAGGGGAAGAAGCCAAGGGACGCCUCAGCCGGAGGCCCAUGAGGGUCGCUUCAGUCUGAUCCUGCAGGGGACUCUGGAGUGUUAGCUACUACUCAGGGCUGGUAGAGAGCUGGGCUUUCAUACCCCGGGAUCGUCAGGCAUUGGCUGAGGGCCACCCCAGAGGACUGUCAACUCCCAAACGCUUCUCUCAGGUUCAGACUUUUGGAACAAAACACAUGGAAGGUGGGGGAUGGGUACCGGCAACAGCAAAUACACUUUCCUGGGUGAGGGGAUGGUGGGGGGGUUGGUGUGGAGGGGACAUUGGAUGAAGCAGGGACACUCUCUGCUCCAGGAGUUUUUUUUCUGGUCACAAAACUUCACCACAUGCGUUCUGGCUGAGAGCCCAUGGGCAGACUUCUUCCCCAUGUGGAUGAGUCUAGAGAACACCCAGGUCUGUAUCUCCAGGGCCCCUGUAUUAACUGCAUCUAAGAAAACUGACCUAAGCACAAUGAGCUCAUCACACUGAGCAGGACAAGGGCAGGCUGGCUUCAGGCAUGGCUGCACUCAGGUGUCCAGAUGGUGUAGCAGGGGCUCUGUUUCCUGCCUCUGCUUCCCUCUCUGUUGGCUCUGUCCUCAGGCUGGUGUUCACCUCAUGGUGGGGGGAUGGCCGCCAACAGUGGAAAAAGAGAGUAGAGGUGACCCUUGAACAACAUGGGUUUGAACAGUGCGGGUCCACUUACAUGUGGAUUUAAAAAACUAAAAGUUCCACCGAGCGUGCCUGCCUCUUCUGCCUCUCCUUCCACCUCCUCCACCUCUUUUGCCUGUGUCACCUGGGAGACAGCAGGACGAACCCCUCCCUCUUCUUCAGCCUACUUGAUGUGAAGGUGAUGAAGACCUUUGUGAUGAUCCACUUCCACUUAAAAAACAGUUAAGCCUGAGUUUGGUCUUCUGUUACUUGGAACUGAAAUAAUGUGCAUUGACACACCUAACAAGUCAAAGUAUUGUCUUUUGCUGGUCUGCUCUGGUCCUGGAAACAUCCACUGAUAGAAUCACUGGUCUGGGACAAAUUGUGGUACCCAAAGACCUCAGGAAGCACUUAGAAGCAUUACUCCUGAAGUCCCAUUCGUCCCAAGAAGAGUUGCUGGCUGGAGGAGACAAUAUGUAAACAUGUCAUGACAAGAUGGUGUGCCAUCAAGUCUGAGAUAAUCUGUUAUGGCAACGUAAGAAGCUAAUACAAGAUGCAGGAGUGAAGCAGCGAGGUCUGGAAAAAAGCUAUUGCAAAAAUACAGUCUCAGCAAGGGGAUAGAAGGAGCCCUGCAUUCUCUCCUGACACGCUUGACAAAAACAAACCCAACUAGAGGUCGCCAGCAACGGAGGGGC
This 2128-nucleotide long non-coding RNA is filed under the name Homo sapiens (human). RNAcentral's name for it is "HSALNT0331046". The record is from RNAcentral. Lineage: Eukaryota; Metazoa; Chordata; Mammalia; Primates; Hominidae.